RNAcentral lists this small RNA (28 nucleotides) under Bombyx mori (domestic silkworm). Its description in RNAcentral is "ovarian small RNA-14601". Lineage: Eukaryota; Metazoa; Arthropoda; Insecta; Lepidoptera; Bombycidae. The record is from RNAcentral.
CUAACACUACACUUGUAUAAGUCAUGAC